AUGGUUUUCGAAGAUGAAAGCAGUGACGACACCUCUAGCCUGUCAUACAUGCACUCGACCUCAUCCACCGACGGGCUUAACCAUGUCUCUUUCAUCCUUGAAGAUCCUGAUUACCAGGGACUUGAGCUGGAUCUGAUGGUCUUCUAUGAGAAGCACGGCAAGGCAUCGGAGGGGCUUGUUGCCUUUGAAGGAACAGACACAGGCAGAAGGUUCUUAGCAUGUGCAGAGCCGGAAGGGCAGAAUUCUGGGUUUGUUGAAUGGGUUGAUCACCGGUGGCCCCCAACAAUGCAGAAUGCAUUGUUGAAGCUGUGGGCAAUGGUUGAAUAUAGCAAGAGUGCUAGGGUGAAUGAUAAUAUUGAAAGUGCUUUAACUAUUCACCAUCUAAUAGAAGAGAAGAACAAGCUGGAGGCCAACUAUGACAAAAGUGAACUGGUGGCCGAUGUGAAGGCGGAGAUGGCAAAGAAAGAUGCAGAGACCCAGAAGCUUAAUCAGAAGUAUGAACUCAUGGUUAACCUGACAAGGGCUCAAGCAACUGUCAUACAGAACUUGAAGUUGAAGAAUGUGAAAGAGAAGGAAUUGCUGAGUGAAGCUAGGAUGAAAUUGGGGUCUCAGAAUGCGGAGCUCACAAACUCUAAGGAGAAGCUCACCCAAGAGAAGCUAGAGUUGAAGCUUCAGGUUGCUGAUAUGCUUAAGGGAAAGGAAAAGCAUAGUGAAGAGAAGGGUCAGCUAGAGCUUCAGAUUACUGGUCUGGUUAAGGGAAAGGAAAAGCAUAGAGAAGAGAAGGGUCGGCUAGAGCUUCAGAUUGCUGAGCUCAUGAAGGGAGAGGAGAAGCUCAAGCAAAAGGUCAAGGGGAUCUAG
Molecule: ribosomal RNA, 858 nt
Filed under: Triticum aestivum (bread wheat)
Lineage: Eukaryota; Viridiplantae; Streptophyta; Magnoliopsida; Poales; Poaceae
Description: partial small subunit ribosomal RNA
Source: RNAcentral